This 354-nucleotide ribosomal RNA is filed under the name Triticum aestivum (bread wheat). Its description in RNAcentral is "partial small subunit ribosomal RNA". The record is from RNAcentral. Lineage: Eukaryota; Viridiplantae; Streptophyta; Magnoliopsida; Poales; Poaceae.
AUGAGUUGCUUGAGCUGGAAUUGUCGAGGGCUUGGGAAACCAUCGACAGUUCGAGAGCUUCGCAGUGUGGUGAAGCAGGAAGGGCCCGAUCUCCUGUCUGUGAUGGAGACAAAAAUCCCAGCGAAAAGAGUAGAAAGUUUGCGGAAUCUUCUUGGUUUUGCAGGAUGCUUCGCAGUAAACAAUACCGGCCUUAGUGGCGGUAUUGGUUUGUUUUGGACGGAUGAGUUGGAUUUGCAGUUAAAACUGCAGUUCUUGUCAUAUCGACGUUUUGGUAAAGAAGAAGAACCGAGCCUCGAAGGAAUGGAGGCUUACGAGUUUCUAUGGAGCUCCAAAGGUGGAAGAUCGACCACAUAG